Molecule: microRNA, 22 nt
Filed under: Macaca mulatta (Rhesus monkey)
Lineage: Eukaryota; Metazoa; Chordata; Mammalia; Primates; Cercopithecidae
Also listed under: 5 other names
Source: RNAcentral
UUCACAAGGAGGUGUCAUUUAU